GCGCUCGUGGUGGAACUGGCAGACACGCAGGAUUUAGGUUCCUGUGCCUUCGGGUGUGCGGGUUCAAGUCCCGCCGAGCGCACCA
This 85-nucleotide transfer RNA is filed under the name Ornithinicoccus sp. RNAcentral's name for it is "tRNA-Leu". It matches the Rfam family "tRNA". Rfam says of the family: Transfer RNA (tRNA) molecules are approximately 80 nucleotides in length. Their secondary structure includes four short double-helical elements and three loops (D, anti-codon, and T loops). Lineage: Bacteria; Bacillati; Actinomycetota; Actinomycetes; Micrococcales; Intrasporangiaceae. RNAcentral also lists the same sequence under 1 other name. The record is from RNAcentral.